AGGAGUGUAGCUCAGUGGUUAGAGCACUUGUCUAGUAUGCAUGAAGUCCUGGGUUCAAAUCCUAGCACCACCU
This 73-nucleotide transfer RNA is filed under the name Fukomys damarensis (Damara mole-rat). It matches the Rfam family "tRNA". Rfam says of the family: Transfer RNA (tRNA) molecules are approximately 80 nucleotides in length. Their secondary structure includes four short double-helical elements and three loops (D, anti-codon, and T loops). Lineage: Eukaryota; Metazoa; Chordata; Mammalia; Rodentia; Bathyergidae. The record is from Rfam by way of RNAcentral.